UACGAAGGGGGCUAGCGUUGUUCGGAGUUACUGGGCGUAAAGGGCGCGUAGGCGGCGCACCAAGUCAGGCGUGAAAGCCCUGGGCUCAACCCGGGAAUUGCGCUUGAGACUGGUGUGCUUGAGUACGGGAGAGGAUAGUGGAAUUCCCAGUGUAGAGGUGAAAUUCGUAGAUAUUGGGAAGAACACCGGUGGCGAAGGCGGCUAUCUGGACCGUAACUGACGCUGAGGCGCGAAAGCGUGGGGAG
Molecule: ribosomal RNA, 245 nt
Filed under: uncultured bacterium
Lineage: Bacteria
Description: partial 16S ribosomal RNA
Rfam family: Bacterial small subunit ribosomal RNA
Source: RNAcentral